Molecule: long non-coding RNA, 402 nt
Filed under: Nicotiana benthamiana
Lineage: Eukaryota; Viridiplantae; Streptophyta; Magnoliopsida; Solanales; Solanaceae
Description: long non-coding RNA (NBEN_LNC029805)
Source: RNAcentral
ACUCAUAAGUAGGUUCACAUCGUGAUCUAAGUUCCAUUUCCCAUCGAGAGGUUAUGAUACUGGUAAAGAGUCCUAUUCUUCUCCUUGGGUUAUGAAAUAAUUCAAUAGCUCCGGGCUCCCUCACUGCAUUCCAAGGCAAGCUCCUACUAGAUCCUACUAUUCCUGAUAUUCCUACUGGAUUUGAGCAACUCGAGUAUGAACACUGUAUCGCUAUGCCCCUCGCUUAGCCCCGCUCUUUGGUUUAGGAUGGAUCCGGACUGGAAGCGAAAAUACCGUAAAAAUGGCUUCUUUCUUUGUCUCCGCUGGACUCUUUUGUAAUAGCUUGAUGAGCUGAACCAACAAGAGAUAUUACGUUCUACCUUCUGCUUCGAGCCCGGCCGAGAGUGAGCUUCCCGAUAGUCU